This 494-nucleotide ribosomal RNA is filed under the name uncultured bacterium. RNAcentral describes it as "partial 16S ribosomal RNA". It matches the Rfam family "Bacterial small subunit ribosomal RNA", at positions 28 to 507 of the family's 1533-position model. The record is from RNAcentral.
GACGAACGCUGGCGGCGUGCUUAACACAUGCAAGUCGAACGGUGAAGCGCCUUCCUUUUUGGUGGGUGUGGAUGAGUGGCGAACGGGUGAGUAACACGUGAGUAACCUGCCCCCUUCUUCUGGAUAACCGCAUGAAAGUGUGGCUAAUACGGGAUAUUCUGGGUCUGUCGCAUGAUGGGUCUGGGAAAGAUAUUGUUUCGGUGGGGGAUGGGCUCGCGGCCUAUCAGCUUGUUGGUGGGGUGAUGGCCUACCAAGGCGGUGACGGGUAGCCGGCCUGAGAGGGUGGACGGUCACACUGGGACUGAGACACGGCCCAGACUCCUACGGGAGGCAGCAGUGGGGAAUAUUGCGCAAUGGGCGCAAGCAUGAUGCAGCGACGCCGCGUGAGGGAUGGAGGCCUGCGGGUUGUGAACCUCUUUCGCCAGUGAAGCAGGCCUGCCUCGUUUGUGGGUGGGUUGACGGUAGCUGGAUAAGAAGCGCCGGCUAACUACGUG